AUUCCCUUGACUGAAUGAUUAUAUCCAAAUUUUAUUUCUGAAGCUCUUCUAUUAGAAUAAAUGCAUAAAGCCAUUAUUAUGACUGUUUAUCUAGAGAUCAAUAGGUUGAUAUUUUAAAGGUUAGAGAAGUAAGUGGAAUUUCUUUGAAAAAAUGGAAAAAAUUAACUUUUAUUUUCCUCCUACUCUGUGUACAUUACCAAAACCAAGAACUAAUACUAAUUUUCUUCCAGAGAACAUCUAUUGUAAAGGAACAUACUGGAAACAGUCUGCAUAGUUGAUAGUUGUUUCAAGUGUCCACAUUACUGAAAUGUCUUAGGUCUGUUCUCAGUGCUGUCCUGAAGGCUCGGAGAAUAAUCUGAUCAGUGCCCCCACAUAUGUACUGCCAUCAUUAGACUAUGUUCCUGAGGAUCUACCAGACUACAGAUAGAAUGGGAGGAGAAAGCCACCCACAUUUUGCCCUAACUCAAGCUCUGCCAAAGGUGACACCAUCAGGAUCUGAAGCAGUGACCAGUAACAUGCCUGCUUCUGCACAGAAUGGCUGCUUUCUGAAAUGGAACCCAAGAUUGAGUGUCCUGUGCAUUCUUUUACUGCUUGCUAUUGACCUAGUACCUCUGCAUGGGAUAAGACUUCCUGUUUUUAGACUUUUGUUAAAACUAGAAAUAAAAUUGUGCUGAUCUUUA
This is a long non-coding RNA of Manis pentadactyla (Chinese pangolin), 680 nucleotides long. RefSeq lists it as uncharacterized. The record is from RefSeq and is a predicted model, not a curated record. The transcript is spliced from 2 exons. NCBI's taxonomy places the organism in Eukaryota, Metazoa, Chordata, Mammalia, Pholidota, Manidae.